This is a long non-coding RNA of Gambusia affinis (western mosquitofish), 788 nucleotides long. RefSeq lists it as uncharacterized. NCBI's taxonomy places the organism in Eukaryota, Metazoa, Chordata, Actinopteri, Cyprinodontiformes, Poeciliidae. The transcript is spliced from 2 exons. The record is from RefSeq and is a predicted model, not a curated record.
CUCACCCAGACUCUACCUCCAGCGGCCCCCGGGGAAAUUGAGUUUGAGACCCCUGACUUAGACUGACAAGAAAGGCUGAGUCAGUUGUGGGGAUCAAGCUGGCUCUACUGGACGAUGCUGAAGAAGAUCAGAGCUAUCAAGGAUAAUGCCUUUCAUCCCCUUUACAGCCUGAUGGACAGCCAGAGGAGCAGACAUACAGCAGAUUACUGCAGCCCAGAGGUGUUAAAGAUCGCUACAGCAAGACCUUUCUGCCCGAGGCUAUCAAACUUUAUAAUGCAUACAUCGUCUCUAGAACUGUGCGUUUUAAAUGUUGAAUAUACAUUUAACAAUAUACUGAGCGAUGUUGUAUAUUUGUUAAUAUUAUUUUUUCUUAUUAUUAGUUUUAAUUCUCAAACUAAAUUCAUCUCUCCUUUGGGGAUUAGUAAAGUACAAAGUUUUAGAGUACAAACUGGCAUAAUCUUUCACAGGUAUGAAUGAAAAAGAACAUAUAUAUAUAUAAGCAUAUUUGUCCAUAAUUAUGUAAUUUACGAGCAGAAAUUCUUGACUUUGCAGCCAGAACAGUGAAUUCCCAUGGUGAAACUAGCUUCUAAACAACCAAGAAAUAUUUCCUAUGCAACUAAAUCGGCAUAAACUUGUGUCUACCAGGAUGUCUCAGAGGUUCCUGGACUGCUCCCAGUUUGACCAACACACUGAACCCUGCCUCUGUUGCCAGUAUGAUAUAAAUACAUUUGUAUUGUAAUGUACAACUGAAAUACAAAAGUAGACAAAAUACAGACUUAACUAUGAAA